UAUAUAUAUAUAUAUAUACACACACAUAUGUGUUCAAAGGACAGUGCAAUAGAAACUCAAUAUCUGGCAUCGUUGGUUUUCUUGGCUUUGUCCAUGAUAAACAUGGUAUUUUUAUUGAUACAAUA
Dipodomys ordii (Ord's kangaroo rat) is the source of this 125-nucleotide non-coding RNA. NCBI's taxonomy places the organism in Eukaryota, Metazoa, Chordata, Mammalia, Rodentia, Heteromyidae. The record is from Rfam.